UCGGACGUGGGGUAGAAGUUAACCUGCUCCCCUCCCACAUGAUAGCCCGGGUGCAAAUCCCGGCGUUCGAA
This is a non-coding RNA of Clonostachys byssicola, 71 nucleotides long. Lineage: Eukaryota; Fungi; Ascomycota; Sordariomycetes; Hypocreales; Bionectriaceae. The record is from the annotation of a GenBank genome assembly.